Non-coding RNA from Orycteropus afer afer, 381 nucleotides. Lineage: Eukaryota; Metazoa; Chordata; Mammalia; Tubulidentata; Orycteropodidae. The record is from the annotation of a RefSeq genome assembly.
AUGGACUCCGGGCUGGGCUGGGUUUUCCUUAUUGCUAUUUUAGAAGGUGUCCGGUGUGAAAUACAGCUGGUGGAGUCUGGGGGAGACGUGAGGCAGCCUGGAGGGUCUCUGAGUCUUUGGUGUAAGGGCUCUGGAUUCAUUUUCAGCAGUUAUGACAUGGAUUGGGUCCGCCAUCCUCCAGGCAAGGGGUUAGAGUGGGUCUCAGGUAUUACUCCUGGUGGGGGCGCUUACUACUCAGACUCUGUGAGGGGCCGAUUCACCAUCUCCAGAGACAAUGCCAAGAACACGUUGUAUCUGCAUAUGGACAACCUGAAACCAGAGGACACUGCCCUGUAUUACUGUGUGAAAGACACAGUGAGAGGAAGUCAUUCUUACUGCUAA